This 348-nucleotide ribosomal RNA is filed under the name uncultured Thiobacillus sp. RNAcentral's name for it is "bacterial SSU rRNA". It matches the Rfam family "Bacterial small subunit ribosomal RNA", at positions 1027 to 1382 of the family's 1533-position model. The record is from RNAcentral. Lineage: Bacteria; Pseudomonadati; Pseudomonadota; Betaproteobacteria; Nitrosomonadales; Thiobacillaceae.
UCGGAACACAGGUGCUGCAUGGCUGUCGUCAGCUCGUGUCGUGAGAUGUUGGGUUAGGUCCGCAACGAGCGCAACCCUUAUCAUUAGUUGCUACGCAAGGGCACUCUAAUGAGACUGCCGGUGACAAACCGGAGGAAGGUGGGGAUGACGUCAAGUCCUCAUGGCCCUUAUGGGUAGGGCUUCACACGUCAUACAAUGGUCGGUACAGAGGGUUGCCAAGCCGCGAGGCGGAGCCAAUCCCACAAAGCCGAUCGUAGUCCGGAUUGUUCUCUGCAACUCGAGAGCAUGAAGUCGGAAUCGCUAGUAAUCGCAGGUCAGCAUACUGCGGUGAAUACGUUCCCGGGUCUU